RNAcentral lists this ribosomal RNA (465 nucleotides) under uncultured bacterium. Its description in RNAcentral is "bacterial SSU rRNA". It matches the Rfam family "Bacterial small subunit ribosomal RNA", at positions 917 to 1382 of the family's 1533-position model. The record is from RNAcentral.
GGGCCCGCACAAGCGGCGGAGCAUGCGGAUUAAUUCGAUGCAACGCGAAGAACCUUACCAAGGCUUGACAUAUAUUCGAAGCUAUUAGAGAUAGUAGUGCCUUUUGGGCGGAUAUACAGGUGGUGCAUGGUUGUCGUCAGCUCGUGUCGUGAGAUGUUGGGUUAAGUCCCGCAACGAGCGCAACCCUUGUUCUAUGUUGCCAGCACGUUAUGGUGGGGACUCAUAGGAGACUGCCGGGGUCAACUCGGAGGAAGGUGGGGAUGACGUCAAAUCAUCAUGCCCCUUAUGUCUUGGGCUUCACGCAUGCUACAAUGGCCGGUACAGAGGGCUGCGAUUCCGUAAGGAUGAGCGAAUCCCUUAAAGCCGGUCUCAGUUCGGAUUGAGGUCUGCAACUCGACCUCAUGAAGUUGGAGUCGCUAGUAAUCGCAGAUCAGCAACGCUGCGGUGAAUACGUUCUCGGGCCUU